GCCCUUGACAUCCCGAUCGCGGUUACCAGAGAUGGUUUCCUUCAGUUAGGCUGGAUCGGUGACAGGUGCUGCAUGGCUGUCGUCAGCUCGUGUCGUGAGAUGUUGGGUUAAGUCCCGCAACGAGCGCAACCCUUGUCAUUAGUUGCUACGAAAGGGCACUCUAAUGAGCCUGCCGGCGACAAACCGGAGGAAGGUGGGGAUGACGUCAAGUCCUCAUGGCCCUUAUGGGUAGGCCUUCACACGUCAUACAAUGGUCGGGACAGAGGGUCGCCAACCCGCGAGGGGGAGCCAAUCCCAGAAACCCGAUCGUAGUCCGGAUCGCAGUCUGCAACUCGACUGCGUGAAGUCGGAAUCGCUAGUAAUCGCGGAUCAGCAUGUCGCGGUGAAUACGUUCCCGGGUCUUGUACACACCGCCCGUCACCCCAUGGGAGUGGGUUUUACCAGAAGUAG
Molecule: ribosomal RNA, 450 nt
Filed under: uncultured Bordetella sp.
Lineage: Bacteria; Pseudomonadati; Pseudomonadota; Betaproteobacteria; Burkholderiales; Alcaligenaceae
Description: bacterial SSU rRNA
Rfam family: Bacterial small subunit ribosomal RNA
Source: RNAcentral